CAUGUUGUAUAUGAAGAUUAAUAAGAUUAAAGUAAACAAUGAGGUAUGUUACCAAAAUGAAAGCUAUCCACCAAUGACCAACUUAUGUCAAUGCAAUUACAAGCCAUACAAAUGAUACAUGCAUGUAGGUCACCAUACUUCCUUCAUUUAUAUUAUGAUUAUUGAGUAAAUUUUUGGAAACAUUUCAAACCUAUACAUGUACAUGCUGUUUAUAUAAAUGUUACUACAGUUCAGCGACUCGAAGUUUUAAAUGCAUUGAUAUAACAGAAUUUAAACUGAAUAUCAUAUUUGUAUGAACAUCAUGAUGAAUAUUUACAUUCUCUCAAAGAGUUUUUAUUUUACUUAGCUAAUACAGAAGAUGAUGGAUUCCCAAACAGAAAUCUUGAUGACUGAUCAAGGUGAAAAAAAUGAAGAAUUGCAUCAAUUGUUACAGAGAAUCGAUUUGCAAGCAGAAACAGGUGCUCAAUGAUAAGGGAAUACAACAGCCAUCCAUGCUCCUUCACAUGUAAAGGUAUAUAUUGUAUAUAUAUAUUAUCUACAUUUUCUGAAUUUAUGAUUUUUAAAAAUCUUUCAGAAGAUAUAAAUGUACAUUGUAAGUCAUGUAAUUCAAAUAGAGACGUGCCAUUGUCUUUUAUAAAAGAUAGAGUUACAUGUAUGCCUUUUUAUUGUUAUCAGCUUAUAUACUUGCUUAGCCUUGUUAAAAUCUAUAAAUAUACCUUAUAUGUACAUGUAUGUUGAAAUGUCUGUCAGAAUAUAUACAUAUACAUGUAAUCAUAAUGUUUCAAAUAGCCAAACAUUGUAAUUAAUUUAUGGGGCCCUUUAUAGCUUUUGUUCGGUGUGAGCCAAGGCUCCGUGUUGAAGGCCGUACAUUGACCUAUAUUUGUUUACUUUUAUAAAUUGUUAUUUGGAUGGAGAGUUGUCUCAUUGGCACUCACACCACAUCUUCUUAUAUCUAUAAUAUAUAAUAUAUAUGUUACAGUAAAUAGGUGAAAUUAGGAAUUACACGUAAUUACUAAACAUUUCAGUAAAUACCUGUAAUCACUAGUCAAUUUAGUAAUUACAUGUAUUUACUAGUUGUUUCAGUGAUUACAGGUAUUUACUGAUUUUUUUUGUCAUUUUUACAGCUAUUUACUAACCUGAUAUUUUUGUUUGAAAAUUAAAGACAUAAUUCAAGAUAUCAAAUUAGAAAGUGAAGGGUAGGGAUUUUAGGGCUUACUUAAGGAUCAAGGACUAUAAGGCACAUUAAAAGUGCAUACUCUUCAGUGUUUGUGAAUUGAAACUGGAAAAGGUUGUUUUAUAAGUUUUGAAACUCCCUAAAAAUCAUUUUGAGCAUGCUAGACAAUGAUAUCAAUCCAAAAUUGAGAAAAACAUUUUUGAGAACUUUAUAGGCAAUUUAGCUAGCUAUUUUUUAAGAUAGACAUUAGAUUAUGGCAAACUUGGUUAAAUGAUCUUAAUAAUUCUUAAAAUCUCAUAAUUUUGUUAUAUUAAAAUCUCCAUCAGGCAUACUCUGCAUACCAACUUGGCCAAUAACAUGAGUUAAAUUCCUUUUACAAAAUAGGUUUAACUACGACUUCUUUUGUCAGACAUUUGCGAUGAAGCUGACAUUCUUCACAAACAAAUUUAUACAAAUUGAUGGCGGUCACAUUUUCAUAUUUCCGUGUUUUUAUGAGUUCUUCAAGACCUCCAAACUUAGCUUAUAUACCUCCAACAAAAUUUUAUCAUCGUUUCUUCCUGUAUAAAAUGAUCUUUUUGUGGAUUGACAAAGUCAACUAAAUGGUCCAUCCCUUUUGUUUUACUUUCAAUGUUGACAUUCUUUUCCUUUUCGUCGAGCCUGCGUUUUUUUGUCGCAAAAGCGAGGCAUAGCGAACCAACCUAAUAAUUCCGUCGCCAUUGGCGUCCACAAAUAUUCGCUCUGUGGUUAUAUUUUUUUAAUUUUGAUAAGUUUCUCAAAUUAUCCUGGAUUUCUACUUAACUUGAACAGAAGCUUCAGUUGUUUAUGAUCAAAAGAUAAAUUUCAAGAAGUAAAUUUUGUAAAAAAAAAAUCAAGUUUUUCCAUACUUUCCUUAUAAAGGGACUUAGUUUUUAUGCCAGUUAACAUUACAUUCACACUGUGGUUAAAUUUUUAAAUUUUAAUAACUUUCUCAAAAUAUCCUGGAUUUCUACCAAAAUUGGACAGAAGCUUGUGUAUGAUCAUAAGAUAAUGUCUAGAAAUAAAGUUUGUAAAAAAAAACUAUCCGUAUAUUACUUAUUUAAACGGACUAUUUUUUUUCCAGUUAACAUAACAUACACUCUGCGGUUAAAGUUUAGAUUUCAUAAACCAUCCUGAAUUUUGAACAAAUUUUGAUAGAAGAUUCUUACAGAACUAGUCAAAAGAUAGUAUCUAGAGGAAAAUUAUAAAUAUUUUUUUUCCUAUUUUUGCUGGGCCUGCGACUCACAGCAAAAAUAGGCGAGACACUGGGUUCUGCAAAACCCUUAAAAUUUUGAUAGCUGAAUACUCACUAAUUUUCUAAUUAGUAUUACCAUAACUUUUGAUCAGUUGACCAUAUUACAACAUUGUUUUAACAGUUAGUAAAUAGGUGUAAAAAUUCAUUUUAGAAUCAGUAAUUACUGGUAAUUACUGGGCAGUUUUAGGAAUUACUUGUAUUUACAAAGUACAUUGGGAAUUACAUGUUAUUCCUAAAUUUUAGUAAUUACAUGUAAUUCCUAAUUUCACCUAUUUACUGUAACAUAUAUAUUAAGUAUUGGGAAUCCUGUACCCCCUUUCCUUUGCUUGGACCGAGUUUAACAAAUAUAAUAUGCAAUGUUCAUGAUGUAUACUAGACUUGCUUGAAAAUGUUUAAAUUCAACAAAUUAUCUCCUGGCAAUGCAUGUUUAGGAAUUUCUUAUGUUUUAUUUUGCAGUAAGCAGCUGUUCUCUGAUGCUUAUAGGCAUAAACAAUCUAGUCUGGACAUGUAAAACAGCAAGCUGGUUCUAUUUUGAAGUAAGCUAUUUAGUGAUUACAUCUCAUUUGACAUGACUAGACCGAGUCUUGGGAUAAAUUAAUAGUACUCAUUGUCAUGAUUGUACUAGCUUUUUAUUGUUUUAUAUAUUUUAUGGAAAAUACUGUUAGUUGAGGCCUGCAAAAAUAAAUUUAUUUAUAAGGAGAUGAAGUGUUGUUGCCAAUGAGAGUAAAGACAUUUAACAAAUAGCAUGAAUAGAGUCAUGGAGGAUUGAAUUCAUACUCAUUUUAUAUAGAGUGUCACAAAAUAAUUGCAGGAAAAAAAAACAACAACAAAAAAUCAAAAUAAUUGUGUAUUUAGUAGAAUAAGCCAAAUCAAACAAUGACUGACUAAAAUCUUGUUUGAAAUUUUUCACAUUUCUAUUGAUUAAAUAUUAUUUUAUAGAUCAAAUAAUAAAUAGACAUAAGGUUAAGUUAAAAGGGCAGUAUUAUCCAGUUUCAGAUUUUUGUUGUUGGUUAUAUUGUAUGCAUACAGCUGAUUGUACUAUUUUCAAAUACUUCUCAUAUGUCAAGAGAAAACAAAAUUGCUGUACCUAAUAUUGUAAUUUUAGACCUCCAUUGUGGCACAUAGACACAUCCAACACUCACCAAAAUAUAAGCCUGAACCCCUGAGGGGAUCACACACAUCAAAUGAUAAAAGAUGUAUAUAGUCUACACAAUAAGACCGAACAAUGAUAGUAGGAGUUAUUUUUAAAAUAUAAUUGAAAAACUUAACUGAUACAAAUCAAUAAUUUUUUUAAUGUUGAUGAACAAAUCACAAUGUGUAAUAGUAGUAAUAAAUUUUAAUGCCAGCCUACAAUAGUAGAGGGGUUUUAUGUUUAAUGAUCCCUACAUUUUUUUUUGUUCUCUCUUUCAUCUGUUCUGCUUCAGGUUCAAGUUUUGGUAAAAGUUUUUGGUCAGGAUAGUUGUUAAUGAAGUUAAUGACCAAUCAACUUAAAAAUAGAUACACAUGUGCCUUAUGUUAUGAUCUUUCUAAUGAUAAAUUAAUGGUUUUGCCCCAAUUUCAUGGUCCAUUGAAAAUAGAAAAUUUAUCAUGACAAUUCUAGCUAUUCUUUUAUAUAGAGUUAUUCCACAAGAUAUUUUUGGGUCACUCAUUAGAAUAUUUUUUAAAUAUUAUGAUUUUGAUUACAACUGCAUUAAGAUAGAAUAAUUGCAUGCAGAAAAUUAUUGCUUUUGUCACAUAUAUAUCACUAGUCAAUUUAAUAAAAUUAAACAUUUUUUAAUUACUUUAUUACAGAAGCUACAAAAUAGAG
RNAcentral lists this long non-coding RNA (4251 nucleotides) under Mytilus galloprovincialis (Mediterranean mussel). The record is from RNAcentral. Lineage: Eukaryota; Metazoa; Mollusca; Bivalvia; Mytilida; Mytilidae.